This is an RNA transcript of Nerophis ophidion (straightnose pipefish), 3496 nucleotides long. It is a transcript of the gene named syntaxin-3-like, with no coding region annotated. The record is from RefSeq and is a predicted model, not a curated record. NCBI's taxonomy places the organism in Eukaryota, Metazoa, Chordata, Actinopteri, Syngnathiformes, Syngnathidae. The transcript has 2 exons.
ACCUUUUGACCUUCUGACCUUAAAUAGCCAACAUCCUGUCACUAUGUGAAAAGGAACAUUCUGCUUGCUUGCUUUUGGAAGACCAGAACCUUCCCGUGAUGAUCCCACCUGACUCCUACUCAAUCCCAGCCAAGCUAGACCACCCAUAUACCCCCUUACACACACACACACACACACACACACACACACACACACACACACACACACACACACACACCAUCUUUAUUCUCUACUUUGUUUUCUUUCUGUUUGUUUAUUUGUCUGUGCAUGUGUGUGCGUGUGUGUGUUUGUGCGCGUGUGUGUGCAUGCAUGUGUGUGUGUGUGCGUGUGAUUGUGCGCAUGUGUGUGCAUGCAUGUGUGUGUGUGCGUGUGUUUGUGCGCAUGUGUGUGCAUGCAUGUGUGUGUGCGUGCGUGCGUGCAUGCAUGUGUGUGUGCGUGCGUGCGCGCAUGUGUGUGUGCGUGUGUUUGUGCGCAUGUGUGUGCAUGCAUGUGUGUGUGCGUGCGUGCGCGCAUGUGUGUGUUUGUGCAUGUGUUUGUGCGUGUGUGUGUGCAUGCAUGUGUGUGUGUGUGCGUGGGUACGUGUGUGUGCAGGCGUGCGUGCGUGUGUGUGUGCGUGUGUUUGUGCGUGUGCGUGUGUUUGUGCGUGUGUGUGCCUGCAUGUGUGUGUGUGUGCGCGUGCAUGUGUGUGUGUAUGCAUGUUUGUGCGUGCGUAUGUGUGUGCGUGCGUGCGUGCGUGUGUGUGUGCGCGUGCGUACGUGUGUGUGUGUGUGCAGGCGUCCGCGUGCGUGUGUUUGUGCGUGUGUGUGUGCCUGCAUGUGUGUGUGUGUGUUUAUGCGUGUGUGCGUGUGUGUGUGUGUGUGCAGGCGUCCGCGUGCGUGUGUGUGCGUGUGUUUGUGCGUGUGUGUGUGCCUGCAUGUGUGUGUGUGUGUAUGCGUGUGUUUGUGCGUGUGUGUGCGCGUGUGUGUGUGUGUGCGUGUGUGAAUAAACGUUGCAUUCACCUGUGAAGGUAAGUCAACAUCGUUGCUCCAAUGGAUUGCUUUAGUCAACAUGAGCCUCACUGGGAGGUCAGCAACCAGCGUGCGGCGUUUUAGCUUUUUCAAAAAUGUAUGAAACUGGAAAACAGUGAAAAGAAAAAAAAAAAUGUUUUGUCGUAAUUUUUUUUCCGCAGGAGGACAAAAAAAAAUGACACAAACCUUCCUAGUUGUUAGAAAUCCCAUUGUUUGUAUUAAACACGCUUCAUUUGGGAAGCGCCGUUUUGUCCUACUAAUUCUGGCGGACCUUGAACUCGCCGUGGUUUGUUUACACGCGCAACUUUCUCCCACGCUGCCACAGAGAGACGUCUUUAAAGGCCUACUGAAAUGAGAUGUUCUUAUUUAACCGGGGAUAGCAGGUCCAUUUUAUGUGUCAUACUUGAUCAUUUCGCCAUAUUGCCAUAUUUUUACUGAAAGGAUUUAGUAGAGAACAUCCACGAUAAAGUUGGCAACUUUUGGUCGCUAAUAAAAAAGCCUUGCCUGUACCGGAAGUAGCAGACGAUGUGCGUGUGACAUCACGGGUUGUGGAGCUCCUCACAUCUGAACAUUGUUUACAAUCAUGGCCACCAGCAGCGAGAGCGAUUCGGACCAAGAAAGCGACGAUUUCCCCAUUAAUUUGAUGAAGUAUGAAAGAUUCGUGGAUGAGGAAAGUGAGAGUGAAGGAGUACAAAAAAAGGCGAAGGCAGUUGAGAGCGAUUCAGAUGUUAUUAGACACAUUUACUAGGAUAAUUCUGGAAAAUCCCUUAUCUGCUUAUUGUGUUACUAGUGUUUUAGUGAGAUUAUAUAUCCAUCCAUUUUCUACUGCUUAUUCCCUUUUGGGGUGACGGGGGGCGCUGGCGCUUAUCUCAGCUACAAUCGGGCGGAAGGCGGGGUACACCCUGGACAAGUCGCUACCUCAUCGCAGGGCCAACACAGAUAGACAGACAACAUUCACACUCACAUUCACACACUAGGGCCCAUUUAGUGUUGCCAAUCAACCUAUCCCCAGGUGCAUGUCUUUAUAUAGGCGUACCUAAAAGUCGGAGGGGUGUGGUGACCGCCAGUGUCUCUGAGGGAAGCCACAUUUCUCGACGAGGUGAAGCGAAUAUUCCCCCCCCCCCUCUCCUCCACGGUGGAAGCUUCCGACGUUCAGGGGCGGCUGUUCGGAGGAGGCAAGAGAGUCCGCAGCUGCCUCUUUGACGGGUGCACGAGGAACGACGCAAGCUCUUCGCUCAUGUCUACGGUAAGAGCCGACGUAUUAACACCAUUUUCUCAUCGAAACCUGCCGGUUGACAUGUGGUAGGGAACCAUGUUCGCUUGACCGCCCUGUUCCAUAGUAAAGCUUCACGUCAUCUUUCGGGAAUGCAAAACAAGGAAACAAACACCGGCUGUGUUUGUGUUGCUAAAAACGGCCACAAUACACCGCUUCCUACCUACAUCUUUCUUCUUUGACGUCUCCAUUAUUAAUUGAACAAAUUGCAAAAGAUUCAGCAACACAGAUGUCCAGAAUACUGUGGAAUUAUGCGAUUAAAGUAGACGACUUAUAGCUGGUAUCAGCGCUGGAACAAUAUGUCCACUACAAUCCGUGACGUCACACGCACGCGUCAUCAUACCGCAACGUUUUCAACAGGAUAUUUCGCGCAAAAUUUUAAAUUGCAAUUUAGUAAACUAAAAAGGCCGUAUUGGCAUGUGUUGCAAUGUUAAUAUUUCAUCAUUGAUAUUUAAACUAUCAGACUGCGUGGUCGCUGGUAGUGGCUUUCAGUAGGUCUUUAAUGCCUCUCAUUUUGUCCACCAAACGUUUUAUACUGUGCGUGAAAGCACAAAGGCGAGCUUUGUUGACGUUAUUGACUUGUUGGAGUGCUAGUCAGGCAUAUUUGGUCAAGCUAAUCAAUGCUAACAUGCUAUUUAGGCUAGCUGUAUGUACAUAUUGCAUCAUUAUGCCUCAUUUAAUUUCCUUUACUUAUGUCGUCUGUCUAUUUUGAUUUAUAUUUGCAUGUCACAUGAUCUGUGUGUAACAUUGGCUGCAAUUCUGAUAGUUGUUAGUGUGUCACAUUGUUCCAGACCAAAGCAAACGUUACCCAGCUUGCAUAGAUUGUAAUAACUGUACCAAUUGUAAUAUUUUAAUACUAGACAUAAGAAGACAUGAAAAUAAUAGGUUACAGUAAUGGAGACGUGGCGUAACAAAAUCAUGAAAAAUGAUCUCAGCGUCGCUGGUGGACAAAAUGGAGCGAAUUUUCGCGAUAUUACGAAGAUGAAAGAAGGUUGAACAAAGUGGUAUCAGCGGAGAGGCGCAGCAAUGAGAGUUCUCCCGUCUGUACUUGCCAACAGAGAGUGCUGCUUGUAGUGCUGCUCGUUCUGGUCUUGGUGGCCGUACUAGCGCUGGUCAUCGGGCUGUCAGUGGGCCUGACCGGCAGCUGAGCGGCUGUUGAGUCGGCAGCUCAGAAAAUGAUCAUAAUCGGCGUGGUCUGUGCCGUGCUGGUCGCCAU